This 460-nucleotide ribosomal RNA is filed under the name uncultured bacterium. RNAcentral describes it as "partial 16S ribosomal RNA". It matches the Rfam family "Bacterial small subunit ribosomal RNA", at positions 338 to 795 of the family's 1533-position model. The record is from RNAcentral.
CCUACGUGAGGCAGCAGUGAGGAAUAUUGGUCAAUGGACGAGAGUCUGAACCAGCCAAGUAGCGUGAAGGAUGACUGCCCUAUGGGUUGUAAACUUCUUUUAUAAAGGAAUAAAACGAGGCACGGGUGCCUUUUUGCAUGUACUUUAUGAAUAAGGAUCGGCUAACUCCGUGCCAGCAGCCGCGGUAAUACGGAGGAUCCGAGCGUUAUCCGGAGUUAUUGGGUUUAAAGGGAGCGUAGAUGGGUUUGUAAGUCAGUUGUGAAGGUUUGGGGCUCAACCGUAAAAUUUCAAUUGAUACUGGCAGUCUUGAGUACAGUUGAGGUAGGCGGAAUUCGUGGUGUAGCGGUGAAAUGCUUAGAUAUCACGAAGAACCCCGAUUGCGAAGGCAGCUUACUAAACUGCCACUGACAUUGAUGCUCGAAAGUGUGGGUAUCAAACAGGAUUAGAUACCCGGGUAGUC